RNAcentral lists this ribosomal RNA (428 nucleotides) under uncultured bacterium. RNAcentral describes it as "bacterial SSU rRNA". It matches the Rfam family "Bacterial small subunit ribosomal RNA", at positions 378 to 793 of the family's 1533-position model. The record is from RNAcentral.
AAACCCUGAUGCAGCCAUGCCGCGUGUGUGAAGAAGGCCGUUCGGGUUGUAAAGCACUUUCAGGUAGGGAGGAAGGUAGUGUAGUUAACACCUGCAUUAUUUGACGUUACCUACAGAAGAAGCACCGGCUAACUCCGUGCCAGCAGCCGCGGUAAGUACGGGAGGGUGCGGGCGUUAAUCGGAAUUACUGGGCGUAAAGCGCAUGCAGGCGGCCUGUUAAGUCAGAUGUGAAAGCCCGGGGCUUAACCUCGGAAUUGCAUUUGAAACUGGCAGGCUAGAGUCUUGUAGAGGGGGGUAGGAAUUUCAGGUGUAGCGGUGAAAUGCGUAGAGAUCUGAAGGAAUACCAGUGGCGAAGGCGGCCCCCUGGACAAAGACUGACGCUCAGAUGCGAAAGCGUGGGGAGCAAACAGGAUUAGAUACCCUGGUAG